RNAcentral lists this long non-coding RNA (820 nucleotides) under Manihot esculenta (cassava). RNAcentral's name for it is "long non-coding RNA (MESC_LNC000640)". Lineage: Eukaryota; Viridiplantae; Streptophyta; Magnoliopsida; Malpighiales; Euphorbiaceae. The record is from RNAcentral.
CUCCUCAAUUUAUUUGUUUGAUUAAAAUAAAGUCACCCAAUAGUAAACGAUGAAACACAUAAUUCAAUUACUGAAAAAGGAAAAUGAAAGCAACGCAAAGUCAUCGGCGGUCAUUCUUUUGAUAAAUAGUUGUUGAUAAGCAAUUAUAAUUAGUAACUCCUUCCAAGUACCAGUCUCUUGUUCACAAGAAUUGCAGAGAACACGUACGGAAUGGAAUCAUCAGUUGCAGUUCAAGUUUAGCUGACGAGCCGAUUUGGUGAAGAUAGAAGCAGUCUCCUAGCAUGGAGUUGCCAUGAUUGGAGUGAUUCCAUUUGCACAAAAAGGUGCGGAGAAGGACCGGGGGCUGGCAAAGGUGCAGAAGCAAUCGUAUCAGACUCAGCACGAGUGGCCUCCAUCGAAAAUGAGAGGAUACAGAAGAAGAUUGAGAUGAGAAAGAGGAUAGACUUGCGCUCCAUCUUUAUUUUCGUUGAAUCUCUCCCUCUCAAUCUUUCUCUCUCUAUUAAGUAUUUGAUUGAAGAGGAUCUUUAAUUUCUGUGUUUACAGAGGAUCCACGAUUUUGGAUUUUAAAAGGGGGGAUGGAGGACGAGGAGGUGCUUCUUGGUUCAUUACCAGGCAGUCAAAUCUCUAUUUUUAGGGUAAUUUUGUCCAUUUUCUGUUCGGCGCAUUAAUUUAGGGCGAAUUUUUCUCACUAUUUUCAGACUCAUUGAUACAGGUAAGGAGGUAAUAGCCAGAGAAAAUGGGAGGUGUUUUGCUUUCAAUCGGUAAAAAAAAUAGAAAAUAGUUGCUAAUUUCUAACAUGAUCCUGUGGCUUAAACUGAGG